AACGAACGCUGGCGGCGUGCUUAACACAUGCAAGUCGAACGGAAAGGCCCUGCUUUUGUGGGGUGCUCGAGUGGCGAACGGGUGAGUAACACGUGAGUAACCUGCCCUUGACUUUGGGAUAACUUCAGGAAACUGGGGCUAAUACCGGAUAGGAGCUCCUGCUUCAUGGUGGGGGUUGGAAAGUUUCGGCGGUUGGGGAUGGACUCGCGGCUUAUCAGCUUGUUGGUGGGGUAGUGGCUUACCAAGGCUUUGACGGGUAGCCGGCCUGAGAGGGUGACCGGCGACAUUGGGACUGAGAUACGGCCCAGACUCCUACGGGAGGCAGAAGUGGGGAAUAUUGCACAAUGGGAGGAAGCCUGAUGAAGCAACGCCGCGUGCGGGAUGACGGCCUUCGGGUUGUAAACAGCUUUCGCCUGUGACGAAGCGUGAGUGACGGUAAUGGGUAAAGAAGCACCGGCUAACUACGUG
This 468-nucleotide ribosomal RNA is filed under the name uncultured bacterium. RNAcentral's name for it is "partial 16S ribosomal RNA". It matches the Rfam family "Bacterial small subunit ribosomal RNA", at positions 28 to 507 of the family's 1533-position model. The record is from RNAcentral.